This is a non-coding RNA of Mycena crocata, 92 nucleotides long. Lineage: Eukaryota; Fungi; Basidiomycota; Agaricomycetes; Agaricales; Mycenaceae. The record is from the annotation of a GenBank genome assembly.
GCCCCUGUUGCUUAGUUGUAUGAGCUCCUCGUCUACAUAUGGUAGUUGGAAUCGUGUCGAGGCAGGUGUGGGUUCAACUCCCACCAGGGGCA